UACGUAGGGUGCGAGCGUUGUCCGGAAUUAUUGGGCGUAAAGAGCUCGUGGGCGGUUUGUCGCGUCGACUGUGAAAACCUACAGCUUAACUGUGGGCUUGCAGUCGAUACGGGCAGACUUGAGUUCGGUAGGGGAGACUGGAAUUCCUGGUGUAGCGGUGAAAUGCGCAGAUAUCAGGAGGAACACCGGUGGCGAAGGCGGGUCUCUGGGCCGAUACUGACGCUGAGGAGCGAAAGCGUGGGGAGCGAACAGG
This 253-nucleotide ribosomal RNA is filed under the name uncultured bacterium. RNAcentral's name for it is "partial 16S ribosomal RNA". It matches the Rfam family "Bacterial small subunit ribosomal RNA", at positions 524 to 776 of the family's 1533-position model. The record is from RNAcentral.